AUACGUAGGGGGCGAGCGUUGUCCGGAAUGAUUGGGCGUAAAGGGCGCGUAGGCGGCGCGGUAAGUCUGGAGUGAAAGUCCUGCUUUCAAGGUGGGAAUUGCUUUGGAUACUGCCGCGCUUGAGUGCAGGAGAGGUUAUCGGAAUUCCCGGUGUAGCGGUGAAAUGCGUAGAGAUCGGGAGGAACACCAGUGGCGAAGGCGGGUAACUGGACUGCAACUGACGCUGAGGCGCGAAAGUGUGGGGAGCAAACAGGAUUAGAUACCCUGGUAGUCCACACUGUAAACGAUGAAUGCUAGGUGUAAGAGGUAUCGACCCCUUUUGUGCCGGAGUCAACACAAUAAGCAUUCCGCCUGGGGAGUAC
This 362-nucleotide ribosomal RNA is filed under the name uncultured bacterium. Its description in RNAcentral is "partial 16S ribosomal RNA". It matches the Rfam family "Bacterial small subunit ribosomal RNA", at positions 523 to 883 of the family's 1533-position model. The record is from RNAcentral.